GACAUCUAGCUGCUGCUGGGGCGCCGGCGGCCGCCUCUCACCGGCCGAGCGGAGAGGAAGGAAGGAGCCAGAGGACAGGAGUGCAUGGGGACUCAGAAUCCUUAAUAGGGGAACUGAGGGUGAAGGGCGCGCAGCAGCCCCCACCUACUCCCAAGAUUUUAAUUUGCACUGGAUACGGGUUUUGUCCCCCCCUCCCCGCACCCCGG
Molecule: long non-coding RNA, 206 nt
Filed under: Homo sapiens (human)
Lineage: Eukaryota; Metazoa; Chordata; Mammalia; Primates; Hominidae
Description: non-protein coding lnc-USP28-6:3
Source: RNAcentral